UCACAUAUUUCAGGCUUUUUUUGAAGCCUUUAGACAGGCUCAUUUCUGACUUCACUAGACUAUUAUUGCAUUUGUUUAUGUUGUAAGACGUGAA
Molecule: long non-coding RNA, 94 nt
Organism: Alosa sapidissima (American shad)
Lineage: Eukaryota; Metazoa; Chordata; Actinopteri; Clupeiformes; Clupeidae
Exons: 3
Source: RefSeq, a predicted model, not a curated record